Long non-coding RNA from Phasianus colchicus (ring-necked pheasant), 582 nucleotides. RefSeq lists it as uncharacterized. The record is from RefSeq and is a predicted model, not a curated record. NCBI's taxonomy places the organism in Eukaryota, Metazoa, Chordata, Aves, Galliformes, Phasianidae.
UCAGCUUUGUGAAGUCUGCUCUAUGGAAACACUUGCUGCUAUCGCCCAUCUGAAACCUUUCUAGCAGCAGACACAGAGGGCAGAAGCAAGAGAAACAAGCUCACUGAUGAAAACACCAAAGAAGACUGGACCUAACCCUCAUCCCUAUGGCACACCUUUGGAUAAGCACCUCCUAGAAGAGUUCCUAUCAACAUCAUAGUGAUGAAGGACUGCUGUCUUGAGGUUUGCAUACCUAUUAGAGCUAAUGACUUCACCUUAUUUUGCAAUGAACACCAUGGGGAGAACCUACCAACCUCACCAAAAAAAAAUUGAAAGAAGGAACAGCACACGGUCACUCAGGACGGCUUUGUGUUUAGUAGGCACACCAAGUUCAUCUGCUUAUGGUGUUUUAUCCCAUUUCUCUUUCUACUUUCUGUCUCAGUUUUAUCUGCACACUGUUAAUUUUUUUAAACAUUCUCUCACCUUGUUGGCUGCAUUUCAAGAAUAGGUGGCAUGAGUCAACUGCAAUGAGUGGACUAGCAUAAAAUGUUGUAAGAUACUUCCCUCAAGUGGAAGGAAUAAAAAUCACUCAGCUGUGUGUCA